UGCUGGAGGUAUCAGAAGUGCGAAUGCUGACAUGAGUAACGAUAAAGGGAGUGAAAAACUCCCUCGCCGGAAGAUCAAGGGUUCCUGUCCAACGUUAAUCGGGGCAGGGUAAGUCGACCCCUAAGGCGAGGCCGAAAGGCGUAGUCGAUGGGAAACGGGUUAAUAUUCCCGUACUUCUUAUAAUUGCGAUGGAGGGACGGAGAAGGCUAGGUGAGCCUGGCGACGGUUGUCCAGGUCCAAGUACGUAGGCUGAUGGUUUAGGCAAAUCCGGACCAUCUUAAGGCUGAGAUACGAUGUCGAGUCACUACGGUGAUGAAGUCAUUGAUGCCAUGCUUCCGGGAAAAGCUUCUAAGCUUCAGAUUAUAAGAAAUCGUACCCCAAACCGACACAGGUGAUCAGGUAGAGAAUACCAAGGCGCUUGAGAGAACUCGGGUGAAGGAACUAGGCAAAAUGGUACCGUAACUUCGGGAGAAGGUACGCUCCUAGCGGUGAUGAGACUUGCUCUCUAAGCUGCCGGGAGUCGCAGAUACCAGGUGGCUGCAACUGUUUAUUAAAAACACAGCACUGUGCAAAAUCGAAAGAUGACGUAUACGGUGUGACGCCUGCCCGGUGCCGGAAGGUUAAUUGAUGGGGUUAGACUUCGGUCGAAGCUCUUGAUCGAAGCCCCGGUAAACGGCGGCCGUAACUAUAACGGUCCUAAGGUAGCGAAAUUCCUUGUCGGGUAAGUUCCGACCUGCACGAAUGGCGUAAUGAUGGCCACGCUGUCUCCACCCGAGACUCAGUGAAAUUGAAAUCGCAGUGAAGAUGCUGCGUCCCCGCGGCUAGACGGAAAGACCCCGUGAACCUUUACUAUAGCUUGGCACUGAACAUUGACCCUACAUGUGUAGGAUAGGUGGGAGACUGUGAAAUAAUCGCGCUAGCGGUUAUGGAGUCGUCCUUGAAAUACCACCCUUGUAUGCUUGAUGUUCUAACGUUGGCCCCUUAUCGGGGUUACGGACAGUGCCUGGUGGGUAGUUUGACUGGGGCGGUCUCCUCCCAAAGAGUAACGGAGGAGCACGAAGGUGGGCUAAUCACGGUCGGACAUCGUGAGGUUAGUGCAAUGGCAUAAGCCCGCUUGACUGCGAGAAUGACAAUUCGAGCAGGUGCGAAAGCAGGUCAUAGUGAUCCGGUGGUUCUGAAUGGAAGGGCCAUCGCUCAACGGAUAAAAGGUACUCCGGGGAUAACAGGCUGAUACCGCCCAAGAGUUCAUAUCGACGGCGGUGUUUGGCACCUCGAUGUCGGCUCAUCACAUCCUGGGGCUGAAGUCGGUCCCAAGGGUAUGGCUGUUCGCCAUUUAAAGUGGUACGCGAGCUGGGUUUAGAACGUCGUGAGACAGUUCGGUCCCUAUCUGCCGUGGGCGUUGGAUGAUUGAGAGGGGCUGCUCCUAGUACGAGAGGACCGGAGUGGACGAACCGCUGGUGUUCGGGUUGUGUCGCCAGACGCAUUGCCCGGUAGCUAAGUUCGGAAUCGAUAACCGCUGAAAGCAUCUAAGCGGGAAGCGAGCCUCAAGAUGAGUCAUCCCUAGACCUUUAAGGUCUCUAAAGGGUUGUUGAAGACUACAACGUUGAUAGGUCGGGUGUGUAAGUGCUGUGAGGCAUUGAGCUAACCGAUACUAAUUGCCCGUGAGGCUUAACC
Molecule: ribosomal RNA, 1674 nt
Filed under: Photobacterium leiognathi subsp. mandapamensis
Lineage: Bacteria; Pseudomonadati; Pseudomonadota; Gammaproteobacteria; Vibrionales; Vibrionaceae
Description: bacterial LSU rRNA
Rfam family: Bacterial large subunit ribosomal RNA
Source: RNAcentral